CACUUGCUUCCUUUUGAGAUGACGAGCAAAAUGUCACUUUUAGUGUGCUUGUUCUUGGUGGUAGUUCAAACCAAAGCUGAAUUACAAUGGAUGUUUGGCCAAUUCUUCGGUUCAAGAGGUUGGCUGGUGGCUGAAAUGGUUUGUUCCCUGGUUUCAUUGGAUGUUAGGGUUAUCAGAAACCACAAUAAAAAACUUGGUCUCGUCAUCCUUGGUGGCAGUUCUACAAACAGCUAAAAUUGCAUCGUGGAUCUUCAGUAGAUUCCAAGAUUGAGUGGGUGGACUUGGAUGUGGAAUGCUUGCAAAUCUACCACUGGAGUUCAUCUAAGUUGGUAAUUUAUCAUUUUCAAUUUAAAGUGAAAUUUUUCGGAAAGUGAUGAUACAUGGGUGGUUCGCUAAAUUUGUAAUGAUAUUAAUGAUUAAAAUAACUCCUCGCAGUCUGAUGUGGACCUGCUGAUUGGUUCGACGGUUUGCUUAGGUAUAAGACAUUAAUUUUUUUUCUAUUUUGUCCAGAUGGCUUCUGCUCGUUGUUCCUUCCUAUUCUGUAUCAAGGUGCUUCAGUUACAGAUUCAAUUUCGGUGGAUCGUAUCAUGGGUCUUUAUCCACUUCGUUGCUUUGAUGAGGUGCAGACACCUGGUUAACUUGAAAAAAUUACUUGGGUCAAAUCUCUUACGUUAACUCUCCUUUUCAGCUAAUGUUGUCUGAUAAAAUUGUUUUGGUAGUUGGGCCGGUUGAUGUUUGCCCAUCUCCGCAGGACGUCAUGCCAAGGGAAUACAUGCUCAAGAAACGUGAGCUGGACCUUUCCUGGGCAACGGACACAAAGAGUAAGUUAUUGUUACUAGAACAAUCGCCAAUGAUUCCAGUUCGCACAUUUAAAUCUGCAGGCCAACGCGGACGAGUACCAUCAGCAAACAAUUCACGAAAUGUGAAGAACUUUCUUCGUUCGUGUUGGGUUUUGGUCGAUCUACCAGCUGCGAAACAUCUUUACAAUGUGUUAAAGACAGAAGAUAGUUUUGGUAGUUUUACAUAAAAAAAAUAUAUAAUCGACUCAUUUAAAGAAAAUUAUAUAAAACGAUUUAACGAUUAAGUUAUGCUACAUUGUUUCACUAAGUAAUCGGAGUUAUAGCGGUUACAGUUAUUAAAAUUCCGAUUGUUUCAAAAAUAGCUUGUUCGAUAAAACAUUCCUUUUUCGAAGUCAGUGUUAGAUUUUAAACAUUACAUGGUUUUCACCGAUUUAUAAGAGAUAUUUUUCUACUGAUUCACAAAUUUGGUAGGGUGUAUAGCUUUCCCACUUUCAUUUUUAUUUUUUACUAAAUUUUUAGUCAAGCAUCGUAUUUAUGAUAAGGCUUCAUUCAGCAUUUUUUUUUUAUUUCGAAAAUAAUUUUGAUUAAGGAUUACUAUGACAAAAGGUAUAAGGUUGAUAUUUACUUGAAAAAUAUUUCCUUUUCUCAAAAACUAGAUGAGGAAAAUUAUGUAAAAUUGAGAAAUUCAAUGAUUUGUUAUAGAUGAAUCUUUCUCCUCCAUGUAUUACACUGUACUUUUUUAAAAUCCGAAAACCAUAUAUCAGAUGAACUGCUUUCGAGGUUGCAAUGAAAAAACAGUGAAAAUUAUUAGAUAAUAAUAUUCAAUUAUAUCCUUGCAGGUGAAGUGGUUAAAAUGGUCAUUGUGCUUGCAUAUCCAUGUGUUGUAUUGUACUCCUUUUCCCUUUAGUUAAAAACCAUGUCAGCCGACUUCCCUUUCUGGUUGCAAUGAAGAAAAAUUUUGAGAGUAAAAAUUAUUAAAUGGAGAAAUCAUUUUCUAUGUUCCUUUUGAAAUAUGUAACAUUUCUUUAUUCUUUACAGGUGAAGAGGUUAAUAAGUUCAUCAAGUUUCCACUUCCGUGUACUGUACUCAUUUAAUCCUUAAACCAUAUGUCUUUACUCUCCUGGUUGUCGAAAAUUAUUAAAAGAGCUUUUUGAUGUUCGUGAUGUGACCUGAGAGGUUUGUGAAGAAGAGUUACAUCUAAGUAACAGCCUGUUGUUCAUGUCUAACAGCAGGAACGGUCGCCGGAGCCUUUUGCGCGCAGAGCAUUGGUGGACUAGGCACUCUAAAGCGAAAUGACGCUAAAGACUUUUCGUUUUGCUUGUAUGGCAUUAAUGAGCAUCACACCGACAGCUCCUAUGGUUAAGGAAAUUACUAACGCCUCAAAGGCAACCAUGCACUUCUUAUGGGUGAAUUUAUUUGUUUAUCACGUAAGCAAUAUAAUCAAAUACUUUUAUGCUUACAAGGUUUUAUUUUUUAAAAUCUAGAUGUAUAAUCAAAUUGGAUUUGAAAGGAUUCUAGUUAAAAAUAUAUACCGAAAGAACUACGCCUGGAAGCACGGAAUCGAAUUUCAUAUUUGAUUAGCAUUCCCGUGUGUUACGAUUGGAACUCUUAACUCUGCUGAGAGGGCCGCUGAUGUGCAGUUCUUAUACUGGGAAUUCCGGAGUGCUUGUGAAUUAACGCCGAUGAAAUUCCGAUCCUAGAGUUGGUAGUUUGCUUUUGAACAGGAUCGAAUUUCAUAUUUACGAUCUUUUAUUUUCCUGGUGAAUGAUUUUGUAUACAAUCUUUGUAUAUAUCGGGUUAUCAGAUGCAUUAGAAUGC
Long non-coding RNA from Daphnia magna, 2618 nucleotides. RefSeq lists it as uncharacterized. The transcript is spliced from 10 exons. NCBI's taxonomy places the organism in Eukaryota, Metazoa, Arthropoda, Branchiopoda, Diplostraca, Daphniidae. The record is from RefSeq and is a predicted model, not a curated record.